GACGAACGCUGGCGGCGUGCCUAACACAUGCAAGUCGAACGAAGUAAGUUGCUUCACCAAGUGUUGAAUAGCUACCCCCAAGCGCAUUUGCCAAAGGGUAAGCAAAAAGUACUAUCAAUUAAAUAAAAUGGUGAAACAAAAGAAUAGCGAAGAAGAAGCAAAUGCGCUUCACGCUAAUUCCAAGUACCAACACAAAACAAAUUCAAUGUUUGGUGAAGCAACUUGCUUAGUGGCGGACGGGUGAGUAACGCGUGAACAAUCUGCCCCGUACAAAGGGAUAGCCUCGGGAAACCGGGAUUAAAACCAUAUAACACUUAACUGCCGCAUGGUAGUGAAGUCAAAUCGAGUAAGAGGUAUGGGAUGAGUUCGCGUCUGAUUAGCUAGUUGGUGAGGUAAGGGCGUCACCAAGGCGACGAUCAGUAGCCGGCCUGAGAGGGUGAACGGCCACACUGGAACUGAGACACGGUCCAGACUCCUACGGGAGGCAGCAGUGGGGAAUAUUGCACAAUGGAGGGAAC
RNAcentral lists this ribosomal RNA (518 nucleotides) under uncultured bacterium. RNAcentral's name for it is "bacterial SSU rRNA". It matches the Rfam family "Bacterial small subunit ribosomal RNA", at positions 28 to 381 of the family's 1533-position model. The record is from RNAcentral.